CAGAGUUCAUGCCCGAAAGGGUAGACCUCCCACCCUUGUGUAUUAUUACUUUGUUGCUUUGGCGAGCUGCCUUUCGGGGCCCUGUAUGUUCGCCAGAGAAUAUCAAAACUCUUUUUAUUAAUGUCGUCUGAGUACUAUAUAAUAGUUAA
RNAcentral lists this ribosomal RNA (149 nucleotides) under Sclerotinia glacialis. RNAcentral describes it as "ribosomal internal transcribed spacer 1". The record is from RNAcentral. Lineage: Eukaryota; Fungi; Ascomycota; Leotiomycetes; Helotiales; Sclerotiniaceae.